This 1346-nucleotide long non-coding RNA is filed under the name Phascolarctos cinereus (koala). Its description in RNAcentral is "lncRNA (ENSPCIG00000022963.2)". Lineage: Eukaryota; Metazoa; Chordata; Mammalia; Diprotodontia; Phascolarctidae. The record is from RNAcentral.
AUGCCAGUCCUUUGCCAGUCCUGUGAAGUCCACAUGCUUAGCUCCUCCAACUCUAGAGGCCCAGCUGACCCUCCAGUGGUCAGUCCUUUCCCCCCUUCCCUCCCCAGCAGCAGGCCCUUUAAAAGUCCAUCGCGGAUCCCAAUACAGCAGAGCCUAUGCAGAGUUAGCAUCCUCCAGUGGACGAGACACAAUGCAGCAAUGUUUGGUGUGGAUGCAUGGACCCUUCCCAAUAACGCAGGGGCCCACAGGUUGAGAAGCACUAUUCCGGACCUGUACUGCCCCUACAAGGGGCCCAGAGAGGAAAAAGCAAUUUUCCCGUGGCCACAAAGUCAUGCUGAUUUCAGUGCCAACAGUCUUUCUGAGCCACAUGCCCCCCUGCCCCCCUCACUGUCCUCCCCUCAUAGAGAGAAAAGCCAAGUUGAAACAUCUAUAGGAGUCUUUAUUACAACACGUUGUUUCCAAAUACAAAAGAAAAGAACAGAAAGAGGGAGGGAGAGGCCGGCCGCUGCCGGUCACCGAUACGUAGCUCCACCAGGUGGGGGGGGCAGCCGGGCCCCUCCCAAUCUGCCACGACCUGGGGGGAAGGGGCCAGAGGGGGAGGCUCCCUGGCCUAAGAGCAAGGGGCCAGGCUGGACUGGCUAUGGUGGGGAGGAGAGAGGACAGGCAGCAGGGUCUCCACAGAGGGGGCCUAGCAGGGGAUUUGAUGUGGCCUGGCUGAGGAGGAGGAGGGCCCAGCCCGGAGCCCCCCCACAACAACUGAGCACAAAGUGAGCCAAUCCAUAGCCCCCUUCUCCUCUCCCCAUCACUGGUCUCAUGGGGGGUACUGCCUCUGACCCCUGGAUCCCAUGGGAGCCAAGGAGCCAGGACGAGUCAGGAGGCUGUAUUUCUCAUUUUCCUCUGCUCCAGGAUCCCCCAUGCAUCCCUGAGUCCCAGCUGUCCCUGCCAGCUCAGUCCCCAGGCUUGGUGGCCUCCUGAGACUGGGAAGAAGGGACAGCUUGGGAUCUCAAAGCAUGAGCCCAAGAGAGGAUCCUGAGGACCCUGGUCACAAGUCAGUAACUCUAGAGAUGGGCGGGAGGGGAGAGGGAGGAAAGGAGCCCCCUCAUCCCCUGCCUGCCGCACCCUCAUCUGUGACCUCAGGCAGAGGACAGCCUCACUCAAUCAUCUCCCAGAUAACUGGGGGGACAAAGGGGGACAAGAAUGGGAAGGUGACCAGCAUGGACUUCAUGCCAAGCCACCAAGAAACGCAAGUCAACAAAGACCAGGCGGCAAAUUUACAUCAUAAUUAAUAAUAAUAAUAAUUAAUAAUAAUAAUAAUAAAUACUUAAUUCUCUAAUCCGUGGAUUGCA